AUUGAACGCUGGCGGCAUGCCUUACACAUGCAAGUCGAACGGUAACGCGGGGGCAACCCUGGCGACGAGUGGCGAACGGGUGAGUAAUACAUCGGAACGUACCCAGUAGUGGGGGAUAGCUCGGCGAAAGCCGGAUUAAUACCGCAUACGACCUAUGGGUGAAAGCGGGGGAUCGCAAGACCUCGCGCUAUUGGAGCGGCCGAUGUCGGAUUAGCUAGUUGGUGAGGUAAAGGCUCACCAAGGCUACGAUCCGUAGCUGGUCUGAGAGGACGACCAGCCACACUGGGACUGAGACACGGCCCAGACUCCUACGGGAGGCAGCAGGU
Molecule: ribosomal RNA, 326 nt
Filed under: uncultured bacterium
Lineage: Bacteria
Description: bacterial SSU rRNA
Rfam family: Bacterial small subunit ribosomal RNA
Source: RNAcentral